This 253-nucleotide ribosomal RNA is filed under the name uncultured prokaryote. RNAcentral describes it as "partial 16S ribosomal RNA". It matches the Rfam family "Bacterial small subunit ribosomal RNA", at positions 525 to 777 of the family's 1533-position model. The record is from RNAcentral.
ACAUAGGGUGCGAGCGUUAAUCGGAAUUACUGGGCGUAAAGUGUGCGCAGGCGGCCGAGCAAGUCGAGUGUGAAAGCCCCGGGCUUAACUUGGGAAUUGCGCUCGAAACUACUUGGCUGGAGUGUGGCAGAGGAAGGUGGAAUUCCACGUGUAGCGGUGAAAUGCGUAGAGAUGUGGAGGAACACCAAUGGCGAAGGCGGCGACCUGGACGGACACUGACGCUGAGACGCGAAAGCGUGGGGAGCAAACAGGA